GACGAACGCUGGCGGCGUGCUUAACACAUGCAAGUCGAACGGAAAGGCCCUGCUUGCAGGGUGCUCGAGUGGCGAACGGGUGAGUAACACGUGGGUGAUCUGCCCCUUACUUUGGGAUAAGCCUGGGAAACUGGGUCUAAUACUGGAUAGGACCAUGCUGUAGGUGGUGUGGUGGAAAGAUUAGUUUCGGUAAGGGAUGAGCUCGCGGCCUAUCAGCUUGUUGUUGGGGUAAUGGCCUACCAAGGCGUCGACGGGUAGCCGGCCUGAGAGGGUGGACGGCCACAUUGGGACUGAGAUACGGCCCAGACUCCUACGGGAGGCAGCAGUGGGGAAUAUUGCACAAUGGGCGCAAGCCUGAUGCAGCGACGCCGCGUGGGGGAUGACGGCCUUCGGGUUGUAAACUCCUUUCAGCCAUGACGAAGCGCUUGUGGUGACGGUAGUGGUAGAAGAAGCACCGGCUAACUACGUG
This 469-nucleotide ribosomal RNA is filed under the name uncultured bacterium. Its description in RNAcentral is "partial 16S ribosomal RNA". It matches the Rfam family "Bacterial small subunit ribosomal RNA", at positions 28 to 507 of the family's 1533-position model. The record is from RNAcentral.